UACGAAGGGGGCUAGCGUUGCUCGGAAUCACUGGGCGUAAAGGGUGCGUAGGUGGGUCUUUAAGUCAGAGGUGAAAUCCUGGAGCUCAACUCCAGAACUGCCUUUGAUACUGAGGAUCUUGAGUUCGGGAGAGGUGAGUGGAACUGCGAGUGUAGAGGUGAAAUUCGUAGAUAUUCGCAAGAACACCAGUGGCGAAGGCGGCUCACUGGUCCGGUACUGACGCUGAGGUGCGAAAGCGUGGGGAGCAAACAGG
This 253-nucleotide ribosomal RNA is filed under the name uncultured bacterium. Its description in RNAcentral is "partial 16S ribosomal RNA". It matches the Rfam family "Bacterial small subunit ribosomal RNA", at positions 524 to 776 of the family's 1533-position model. The record is from RNAcentral.